This 347-nucleotide transfer-messenger RNA is filed under the name Candidatus Galloscillospira excrementipullorum. It matches the Rfam family "transfer-messenger RNA". From Rfam's summary of the family: Bacterial tmRNA, also known as 10Sa RNA or SsrA, is named for its dual tRNA and mRNA-like properties. Its role is to liberate the mRNA from a stalled ribosome. RNAcentral also lists the same sequence under 2 other names. Lineage: Bacteria; Bacillati; Bacillota; Clostridia; Eubacteriales; Oscillospiraceae. The record is from RNAcentral.
GGGGGUGCAAUGGUUUCGACGGGGGUCUUGAAGCGGGAGAAGCAAGCCGAGUUGCGGGGACUCGCAAAACACCGCAACCUAUAAAUGAAAGAACAACAAUAAAGUUGCUCUUGCAGCCUAAAUAGGCUGCCGUCCGCCCCGGGAGGACCACGGCCCGGGUGACGGGCGUCGUCAGUGGUGCACGUGAGGCGGGUAAGCUUUGCCCCGCCCAUGAAUCAUGAAGCUACCGACUGGGGCAGCCGGCCGCAUGGCGGCUCCACGGGGGAAUCCCAAACACGCGGCUAAGCUUGUAGAAACUCCCGGGGAUGGGCUUUCGGACAGGAGUUCGAUUCUCCUCACCUCCACCA